CUUUACAAGGAUAUGUCUUUCGAAAACAUAUAAAUUUGAAAAACUGGUGAAUUCGAGAAAUUAACGGCGGAGCCAGGAAUCAAACCUGGUAUCCAGCGAUGCUUUACCGGAGCCUUACUCCACUAGACCACCUAGCCGCCCUGACUCUGAUGUCGUUAAUUCCUCUCAACACCAGUCAGUUCAAAUUUGUUUUC
Long non-coding RNA from Neodiprion virginianus, 194 nucleotides. RefSeq lists it as uncharacterized. The transcript is spliced from 4 exons. Lineage: Eukaryota; Metazoa; Arthropoda; Insecta; Hymenoptera; Diprionidae. The record is from RefSeq and is a predicted model, not a curated record.